RNAcentral lists this ribosomal RNA (233 nucleotides) under uncultured bacterium. RNAcentral describes it as "partial 16S ribosomal RNA". It matches the Rfam family "Bacterial small subunit ribosomal RNA", at positions 97 to 334 of the family's 1533-position model. The record is from RNAcentral.
GGCGGACGGGUGAGUAAUGUCUGGGAAACUGCCCGAUGGAGGGGGAUAACUACUGGAAACGGUAGCUAAUACCGCAUAACGUCGCAAGACCAAAGAGGGGGACCUUGGGCCUCUUGCCAUCGGAUGUGCCCAGAUGGGAUUAGCUAGUAGGUGGGGUAACGGCUCACCUAGGCGACGAUCCCUAGCUGGUCUGAGAGGAUGACCAGCCACACUGGAACUGAGACACGGUCCAG